RNAcentral lists this long non-coding RNA (641 nucleotides) under Rattus norvegicus (Norway rat). Its description in RNAcentral is "long non-coding RNA NONRATT010614". Lineage: Eukaryota; Metazoa; Chordata; Mammalia; Rodentia; Muridae. The record is from RNAcentral.
AUGUGUUUGCAGGCAUAACUAUGUUGGGGGCAUAGCACAUGAGUAGAGGCCAGAAGAGGACAUUGGAUCACUUGAAGCUGGAGUUCCAGGAGGCUGCAAAUCCUGGGUCCUGAUCUUUUAGACGGCUCAACUGCUUCCUGGGAGUAAUGUUGCCCCUAUUGCUCCUUCCUACUGGUGAGCUGCUAAAGGGCUUAACAUGGAGGCUACGUGCACCCUGAAUAAAUAUCUGUUUACUUGGACAAGAUUAUCAUCCCCAACUCCUUACACUGCCAUGGCGUGAUUUUGAAGAAGCCAGAGGGGUUAUGGUCUCCAUCACUCUAAACAACUGGAAAACGAAGGACAAGAGGAAGAAAACGAAGGACAAGAGGAAGAAAACGAAGGACAAGAGGAAGAAAACGAAGGACAAGAGGAAGAAUUCCUAUGGUAGUUGCCCCAGAGCAUGGGGCCCAGCAAAAUCAGUCCUAUUAAGCAUGAGCCUUUGAAACAGUGGGCUCUCCAGUUCCUUCAUCUGUAGAGACUAACGAGCCUUGAGGAUCUGAUUCAGGGGCUUUGAACCUCAUCCUUAACUCCUUACGUCAUCCUGCAGGUCUGGUUUCAGAUGACCAAUUCUGCACCAACAUAGGUUAAUCUAGCCUCGAGGU